Molecule: long non-coding RNA, 1005 nt
Organism: Tripterygium wilfordii
Lineage: Eukaryota; Viridiplantae; Streptophyta; Magnoliopsida; Celastrales; Celastraceae
Exons: 6
Source: RefSeq, a predicted model, not a curated record
AUUCUUUUCUCUUUUCUUUUCUUUUCUUUAUUUACCUAUUUCUUUUAUACAUCCCGAAAAACAGUUUCACAAAACGCAAAGCUCACUCUUCUCACACUUCUCCGAGCCAAUGUUUGUCUCUCUGAUAAUUAUAUGCUCAUUUCAUGCGAUGCGUUCCAUCAAUGCAGAAACCUAGGGCUACUGAAUCUCUCCGCGAAUAAAUUCAGAAGGAAGGGAAUGUAAAGUCAUUGAUCGUUCUAGCAUUCGCUUACGCGAUCUGUCGAUUCUUGUUGAUGCUCAUCGCUUCCAGUGUGCCUUCUAUCGACGUCGACGCCUCCGAUGUGUUGGAUAGGAACCAAGCGCAGCAAAACAGCUUCAUAUAUGUUAAGGAUCCUGUUGCAUGAGCAAGGAAGGCUAAGAAACCUGGGCAAAAAGUAACAUUAAGAAAAGGUGUCAGAUGCCACGAAUUCUUCUGGAACACAUCAUUGAACUCCAAGAGCUUAUUUGCGUUUAAGGGCUCUAGUCACGCAUAUCUGUUCUUCUGGAAGAUCAAUGCUACACAAGAAAUGUAAAGUAGUUCCAUCCCCUUGGUGUUACUGUUGCCAUUGUUUCAUGGAACUAUCCCUUCCACGCUAUUUUAAUCCAAUGCCGGCAGCAGUCUUUUCAGGCUAUAGUGUUGUGAUUAAGGUUUUCAAGCAUGCAAGUUGGUCUGGCUAUUUCUACUUUCGAAUAAUCCAAGUAGCUCUUGCUGCCGUUGGAGCUCCUGAAAAUGCGGUCGACAUAAUUACAGGUCUGCAGGUAAGUUCAGGAGAGCGGCAUCAACGGCUUUUGUACGCUCUCCUCCUUCUGCCCUUCUCAGGACUAGAUAAUAACGUGUUUCUUUAGAAGCAUGAGCAUAGUAUAGGACUUUUACUCGGAAAGUUUGGAUGACAUCUUUUAUGAGCAAUUGCUUGAAUCCACAAGAUAAAUGCUGAAACCCACUACAAGAUAAAUUUUUGAUGAUAGAUUAACUAUUAAAUUAUCGAA